This is a non-coding RNA of Cristinia sonorae, 83 nucleotides long. The record is from the annotation of a GenBank genome assembly. NCBI's taxonomy places the organism in Eukaryota, Fungi, Basidiomycota, Agaricomycetes, Agaricales, Stephanosporaceae.
GUCCUUGUCGAUUAGUGGUUAGAUCAUCACGUUGUGGUAUCACGUGCUCCGUGAAGACGGAGGCUCGAAUCCUCCCUGGGACA